UACAGAGGGUGCGAGCGUUGUUCGGAAUUACUGGGCGUAAAGCGUGCGCAGGCGGUUUUGUAAGCCAGGGGUGAAAUCCCCGGGCUCAACCUGGGAAUGGCAUUUGGGACUGCAAGGCUGGAGUGCGGCAGAGGAGACUGGAAUUCCUGGUGUAGCAGUGAAAUGCGUAGAUAUCAGGAGGAAUACCGAUGGCGAAGGCAGGUCUCUGGGCUGACACUGACGCUCAUGCACGAAAGCGUGGGGAGCAAACAGG
RNAcentral lists this ribosomal RNA (253 nucleotides) under uncultured bacterium. RNAcentral describes it as "partial 16S ribosomal RNA". It matches the Rfam family "Bacterial small subunit ribosomal RNA", at positions 524 to 776 of the family's 1533-position model. The record is from RNAcentral.